RNAcentral lists this ribosomal RNA (342 nucleotides) under Triticum aestivum (bread wheat). Its description in RNAcentral is "partial small subunit ribosomal RNA". The record is from RNAcentral. Lineage: Eukaryota; Viridiplantae; Streptophyta; Magnoliopsida; Poales; Poaceae.
AUGUGCACGUCACUUGGUUGUGCUAUUCCCAGUUUGGAACAGGAAGAACACAGACAGACUAGGGCAUCGGCGGUCAGCCGGCGGACCUCGCCGUGGGCGCUGCGGCGGAAAAAGUUCGCCACAGUACGGAUGUACUGUCCCCCGACUUCCAGCGGACAACUAGCCCCACCCCUGCCCGCCCUUCUCCAAGUCGGCGCAACCCCCUCCACAGCCACACACAGCGCCCAGCUCCACCAUCCGCCGACGCCGGAGAAGAGAACCCCCAGUCUUCAGGGAAGGAUGGAGUCAAUGAAAAGCAUGCAUUGCUCCAAGUGUCAGGUCAACUACAGCGAUAUGACUUGA